RNAcentral lists this ribosomal RNA (399 nucleotides) under uncultured bacterium. Its description in RNAcentral is "partial 16S ribosomal RNA". It matches the Rfam family "Bacterial small subunit ribosomal RNA", at positions 360 to 776 of the family's 1533-position model. The record is from RNAcentral.
AAUAUUGGACAAUGGGGGAAACCCUGAUCCAGCAAUGCCGCGUGAAUGAAGAAGGCCUUAGGGUUGUAAAGUUCUUUCACCUGUGAAGAUAAUGACGGUAGCAGGAGAAGAAGCUCCGGCUAACUCCGUGCCAGCAGCCGCGGUAAGACGGAGGGAGCUAGCGUUGUUCGGAAUGACUGGGCGUAAAGGGCGCGUAGGCGGUUUUUUAAGUGAGGCGUGAAAGCCCUGGGCUUAACCCAGGAGGUGCGUUUCAUACUGGAAAACUUGAGUGCGAGAGAGGAAAGUGGAAUUCCUAGUGUAGAGGUGAAAUUCGUAGAUAUUAGGAAGAACACCUGUGGCGAAGGCGGCUUUCUGGCUCGCAACUGACGCUGAGGCGCGAAAGCGUGGGGAGCAAACAGG